RNAcentral lists this long non-coding RNA (1050 nucleotides) under Macaca fascicularis (crab-eating macaque). Its description in RNAcentral is "lncRNA (ENSMFAG00000051404.1)". Lineage: Eukaryota; Metazoa; Chordata; Mammalia; Primates; Cercopithecidae. The record is from RNAcentral.
CCACUCCUGAGCUUAGUGGGUUUCUAAGAAAAUAGAAUUGAAAGAAGAACUUGAAUCAGAAAUAAAAGGAAUUCUCUCACCACAUUUUUCAGGGACUCAAGAAAGCAAAAUUUCAUCAGAAUAGAUUUGAGAAAACAAUAUCCAAUCAGGUGGAUUUGAUUCACUUAUUCAUUUUAUAGUUGCAUUUUCAAAUUUGAAGAAUUUUGCAUUAUUCCUAGUUUUUAAUUUGGACUGAAUAUAGUCCUAAGAGAUCUGAAAAACAGAUAUAUUUUGAAGAUUGGCUUAUACAUUCAUAGGAAACCCAGGAAGUGAGUAGACACUAAAUCCUAGAGAUAAUGAAGUUUUCUAACUGAAACAGCUUGUUUUCUUAGUAAAUUCAGACUGACAAUGGAAAGCAAAAUAAACUGAAACGUCAGAAUUGAGAGAGCCGUCUAGAGAAUUCCAGCAUCCCACUUGUCAGCUGGUAGAGUCUAUUUGUGGCCGUGUUCCACGCCUGCAGGAGAAGAAAGCGGUGACCACACUCAAUCUAAAAUGGAGGAAUCCACAAUCAGCUAGAUCCAGCAUGAAGCAGGAAGAAACAUCUGCCAUAUCAAGCAUACCUAUGAUUCCACACCCUCAAAUGGCUCCUGAGUUGGUCAAUCUUCUAUAAACAGAAGUCUAGGCAAAGAGUGGGAUUCCUGAGUAAUUGCUUUCCGGUUCCUGUACAAACUUGGCUCCCUCUAGCGGCAAAAUGGAGCAAAGCAACAGGGGUUAAAGAGGGCUGCAGUCCGCUGUUGGGUUGGAGAGAGGAAUCAGCACCCCUGAAAGAAGUGCUGACAAUUUGUUCUUCCUGGCUCUUCUCUUCAUCAUCCCAAGUCAUCAUCACCACCAUUCCUUGGUCCUUCAAAAGUUCCUGGUCUUUCCUGCUUGGUGUCCAUUUUGUCACACUUUAUCAAGAGGUCCUGAGGUGGGAAAAACCCUGAAAGCUGACUUAGGGACCUGUGUUCCAGUCCUCGCCCUGCUCUGGAGUUAAAGUGUAAGUUUCAGUAAAUCCCUCGACCGCUCCACAUU